This 948-nucleotide non-coding RNA is filed under the name Elagatis bipinnulata (rainbow runner). Its description in RNAcentral is "12S ribosomal RNA". It matches the Rfam family "Bacterial small subunit ribosomal RNA". The record is from RNAcentral. Lineage: Eukaryota; Metazoa; Chordata; Actinopteri; Carangiformes; Carangidae.
CAAAGGCUUGGUCCUGACUUUACUGUCAGCUUUAGCUAGAUUUACACAUGCAAGUAUCCGCCCCCCUGUGAGAAUGCCCUUAGUUCUCUGUUCGAGAACAAGGAGCCGGUAUCAGGCACACUCCUCUAAGCCCACGACACCUUGCCCAGCCACACCCUCAAGGGAAUCCAGCAGUGAUAAAUAUUAAGCCAUAAGUGAAAACUUGACUUAGUUAAAGCUAAGAGAGCCGGUAAAACUCGUGCCAGCCACCGCGGUUAUACGAGAGGCUCAAGUUGACAGACAACGGCGUAAAGAGUGGUUAAGGAAAAUACCAAACUAAAGUCGAACAUCCUCAGAGCUGUUAUACGCUUCCGAAGAUAUGAAGUUCAACCACGAAAGUGACUUUACUACCCCUGAACCCACGAAAGCUAAGGAACAAACUGGGAUUAGAUACCCCACUAUGCUUAGCCCUAAACAUUGAUUGUUUACUACACCAAACAUCCGCCCGGGAAUUACGAACAUCAGUUUAAAACCCAAAGGACUUGGCGGUGCUUAACAUCCACCUAGAGGAGCCUGUUCUAGAACCGAUAACCCCCGUUCAACCUCACCCUCCCUUGUCUUUUCCCGCCUAUAUACCACCGUCGUCAGCUUACCCUGUGAAGGAAAAAUAGUUAGCACAAUUGGCACAGCCCAAAACGUCAGGUCGAGGUGUAGUGCAUGAGAGGGGAAGAAAUGGGCUACAUUCGCUAGCACUAGCGAACACGAAUGAUGCAUUGAAACAUGCAGCUGAAGGAGGAUUUAGCAGUAAGUAGGAAGCAGAGUGUUCUACUGAAACCGGCUCUAAAGCGCGCACACACCGCCCGUCACCCUCCCCAAGCCCCUGGACUAACUUUAAAUAAAACCCUACAAACGCGAAGGAGAGGAAAGUCGUAACAUGGUAAGCGUACCGGAAGGUGCGCUUGGUAAAAU